AUAUAUUAGACAUAACAGGGCUACAACUCUUAAUUGAGCUUAAGCAUUUUGGGUUGGUGGUUUGCUAACGGGUCGGAUCGUUACUGUUGGUAUCAGAGCUAAUUACCAGCCAGAAGUGUGAAAUAAGUCUUGACUGAGCCAAGAUCGAAAUGACAAGGCUAGCGAGACGAGUCUCACAUCGCCUGAUACUUUUGAGUCUAAGCCUGCUUAGGACGUCAGGCUUAAAGAGGGGAUGAUUGUGAGACCCCAGAUAGUCCUUUAUAUUAUAUAUAUCAGGGCUACAACUCUUAAUUGGGCUUAAGUAUUUUGGACCGAUGGUUUGUGACCAAUACGUUAUUAUUACUAGCGAGUCAGAUCGUUACUAGGGAUAC
This 371-nucleotide long non-coding RNA is filed under the name Ananas comosus (pineapple). Its description in RNAcentral is "long non-coding RNA (ACOM_LNC008491)". The record is from RNAcentral. Lineage: Eukaryota; Viridiplantae; Streptophyta; Magnoliopsida; Poales; Bromeliaceae.